This 52-nucleotide microRNA precursor is filed under the name Bos taurus (domestic cattle). RNAcentral describes it as "mir-1302 microRNA precursor family". It matches the Rfam family "mir-1302 microRNA precursor family". Lineage: Eukaryota; Metazoa; Chordata; Mammalia; Artiodactyla; Bovidae. The record is from Rfam by way of RNAcentral. RNAcentral also lists the same sequence under 5 other names.
CUUUUAGUAUAAGUAUGCCCCCUGCAAUAUCUGGGACAUACUUAUGCUAAAA